RNAcentral lists this ribosomal RNA (427 nucleotides) under uncultured bacterium. RNAcentral describes it as "bacterial SSU rRNA". It matches the Rfam family "Bacterial small subunit ribosomal RNA", at positions 355 to 774 of the family's 1533-position model. The record is from RNAcentral.
UGAGGAAUAUUGGACAAUGGGCGCAAGCCUGAUCCAGCAAUGCCGCGUGCAGGAUGAAGGCCUUCGGGUUGUAAACCGCUUUUGUACGGAGCGAAAAGGUCUGCCCUAAUACGGUGGACUCAUGACGGUACCGUAAGAAUAAGCACCGGCUAACUACGUGCCAGCAGCCGCGGUAAUACGUAGGGUGCGAGCGUUAAUCGGAAUUACUGGGCGUAAAGCGUGCGCAGGCGGUUAUAUAAGACAGAUGUGAAAUCCCCGGGCUCAACCUGGGACCUGCAUUUGUGACUGUAGAGCUAGAGUACGGUAGAGGGGGAUGGAAUUCCGGGUGUAGCAGUGAAAUGCGUAGAUAUGCGGAGGAACACCGAUGGCGAAGGCAAUCCCCUGGACCUGUACUGACGCUCAUGAACGAAAGCGUGGGGAGCAAACA